RNAcentral lists this ribosomal RNA (907 nucleotides) under uncultured soil bacterium. RNAcentral's name for it is "SSU rRNA". It matches the Rfam family "Bacterial small subunit ribosomal RNA", at positions 1 to 874 of the family's 1533-position model. The record is from RNAcentral.
GUGGGUUUGUACGGUCUCUGAUGUCUGGCUAGAGCGACGCUGGCGGCGUACUUAACACAUGCAAGUCGUACGAGGAUCGUCGGGUUAGCAAUAAUUCGGCGGUUCGAGUGGCGCACGGGUGAGUAACACGUGGGUAACCCACCCUUGAGACCGGGAUACCCUCUCGAAAGGGAGGCUAAUACUGGAUACGUUCCCUGGGACGCAAGAUCUGGGGAGGAAAGGUGGCGAAAGCUGCCGCUCUUGGAGGGGCUCGCGGCCUAUCAGCUAGUUGGUGAGGUAACGGCUCACCAAGGCUAUGACGGGUAGCUGGUCUGAGAGGACGACCAGCCACACGGGAACUGAGACACGGUCCCGACUCCUACGGGAGGCAGCAGUGGGGAAUUUUCCGCAAUGGGCGAAAGCCUGACGGAGUGACGCCGCGUGGGGGACGAAGGCCUUCGGGUCGUAAACCCCUGUCAGAGGGAAAGAAGGGUGUCGGCGUGAAUAGCGCCGGCACUUGACGGUACCUUCAGAGGAAGCCCCGGCCAACUCUGUGCCAGCAGCCGCGGUAAGACAGAGGGGGCAAGCGUUGCUCGGAAUUACUGGGCGUAAAGGGCGCGUAGGCGGGAUGGCAAGUCGGUCGUGAAAUCCUUCGGCUCAACCGAAGAACGUCGGCCGAUACUGCCGUUCUUGAGGGAUGCAGAGGAGAUUGGAAUUCCCGGUGUAGCGGUGAAAUGUGUAGAGAUCGGGAGGAACACCGGUGGCGAAGGCGGGUCUCUGGGCAUCUCCUGACGCUGAGGCGCGAAAGCGUGGGGGGAGCAAACGGGAUUAGAUACCCCGGUAGUCACGCUGUAAACGAUGACGACUAGGUGUGGGGGGGGGUUAGUCCCUUUCCGUGCCGCAGCUAACGGCAUUAAGUCGUCCGCCC